Long non-coding RNA from Odontomachus brunneus, 5357 nucleotides. RefSeq lists it as uncharacterized. The record is from RefSeq and is a predicted model, not a curated record. The transcript is spliced from 4 exons. Lineage: Eukaryota; Metazoa; Arthropoda; Insecta; Hymenoptera; Formicidae.
CGAUGGCUAAAACUUUCUGAGAGUUACUCAGGAGGGUGACCUCUACAACAUAUGUCAAGGUCAAGGUCAUUGGAGCUGACUCCCCUAUACCCGAUAAUUACCGGAGUUUAUGCUGGAAAAGCCUCCUCACGAGUGCGUAAUGUAAAAUUUAUUAUAUUGAAAUACGGAGGGAAAACGCGCGACGUUUUAAAAACUUUCAUAUCUUAGGGCGGGAGGUGAGUAUAAAAAUCCCGCCCGCCGAAGGUUCCGACAUCGCUAGUCAUUUAGAAAACGCAUUCCGGGAAAUCUAUUUUUACACCGUUAAUUCCCGUAACGCGGGUGAUUACGUGUAGUUAUCUUUCACUUCGAUGGAUUUAACACGCGGACCGGCUGGUUUGUUGUUUCGUUCGGUGCGGGACUUGACUUAUGAGGAUAUUUGGAGCCUCAUAAGCUCAGUAGCGCAGAGCGCUGGGGAUCACGAUAUUGCGGAACGUUUUCUUACGGUGUACAAUGUCGGAAUACCUUCGGGAAGGGAGGGGGGGAGGAUCGAAUAAAUUAACGCGCAUGGAUAUAGUAAAACGCUUGAUUUUAAAUAUAAAUAAUCGGAAUAACAUGUGUCUCUCUCGCUCCAUCGUCGUGAUUUGCGAUACAGUACGCACUGGUUUAUUUUGAACGCGGUACAGUAUGCAUUGGCGAACUGCACAAAAAAUGGAAUAAUAUAAGGCGCCCAUAUUCUGCGUUACAAAGACAUUUGGCCGAAGAAAUAACGAGGAACGCCGAUAUAGUUAUAUCCGAGGAGGGCUGCGACAUUCCUGAGAUCGAACGUUUUCAACAGCUUCUUUCACUAGGAAAUAUCGCGAUUGUUUAUAAUUUCAACAGUUUCGGUCACGGAGUCCCUCCGUUGUAUGGCGGACAUUCGCCUCUCGUUCUCAUAUAACUAAGUAUACAUUAAAUGUAUUACGAGCGUUCACGACAUUGUAAACCUAUUUUAAAUUUAAAAGCCUCCUCGGCUAAUAUUAUUGCGUUCCCUGUAACAAAGGUUACCGUGCUCGGUAUGUAACGGGUCACCGGUGGUCAAACACAUGCCCGCAAUAUCUCGGCGCGCCGCCGAGAAGCUAGACAAGCGAUCAGCUGCGACGCAUGUAACCGCGUGUUUUUGUGGAAAGAACUGUUUCGAACAUUUAGGUUAGAUUUAGGUUAGAUCAGGUAUAAAUUAUAUACCUAACUUUAUGAUUUAAGUUUUUAUGUUAUAAAUAAGUAUAUUAUUAGAUUUAUAAAAAGUGGAAAUUCUUCUAAUAUUAAGAGGAUUGCAUUUUUAAAUCGAAUGUGUUAAAGUUAUAGGUUAUUCCUCUAGAUAUUAGAGUAUCUUCUUGAGGCCGUAUAUAAGCGAAGAAUCCUUUAGAAUUAAGUGGAUUUUGCUAAAUAAUAGAAUCUUUUUUUUGGGCGCUUAAAAGUGGUGGGGAGAGGUCGAUUCGCUCAACUGUUGCGCGAUAUAGCUACUCCUCCCGAAUUUGUGGGAAAUCGCGAAUUACGAGAGAAGAGCAUUCGUCAGAUUUUCGCCGAAGAAACGACUUUGCACGAUAGCAUUUCUAUUCCUGACAAUUUAGCGCCACAUAAUAGCACCCCUAUUCCAAGAGCGAAAGUGCGAAUGGAUAACGAGUUCAACGAAGCAUCGCUCGAAGAUAAGCGCGGCGAUGAAGGAUACUCUGCGUUUAUAUCCGGCGACAACAAAAACAAAACCCGCGAGAGUGAUCGCGAUUCCAAACUCGCGAGGAAGAAGCGAUUGUUAAAUUGAAAUCUCAUGGAACCUUUGGACAGUAGCGCAUAUAUCCUCGAAGACCCAUCGUCGCGUAAAAAUGUAUCUUUUUCCGAGACGAGGGUAUCGGCCGGUAAAUGUGGAUCCGGUGAGACAACUUUCGAAGAGGAACGGGACAACGAGGUGUUUAUAUCCAGCAGCAACAAAAAGAAUAAAACGCGCGUGAGUGACAGAAAUUCUAAAUUCGCAAGGAAGAAAAGAUUGUUUGAUUGGAACCUUUUGGAGUGACGGGGCUGGAAAAAUUAUACUAUAAUUUAGUGCAUUAUGCGAGAUACUCCGCCGUGAAAAAUCUUUCACACGCCGCCGAACCGGAUUUCAAUCGAAACGAAAUUAUUAGAUGACUCGAAUCACAAGAUGCGUACACACUACACAGACCAAUACGACGCAAAUUUGCCCGCUUACACUACAACGUGACGAAUAUCGACGACGUGUGAGAAGCCGAUUUGAUCGAGCUUCGCAAUCUCAAGAAUUACGAUGAUGACUACUUUUAUUUGCUCACGAUUAUCGAUGUGUUCAGCAAAUACGUCUGAGUGGAGCCGGUACGGGACAAAACAGCCGUUAGCAUGAAGUAUUGAGAAACAUCUGGGACCCUAUUCUUGAAUCUAUAUGCAACUUUACGUAUACGCACGUCGCGAACGGUAAAAAUACGCAUACGUUUCUGUCAUGGUAUUCUUGAACGUUGUCUAGUAUUCGCAGUUGGGAGUAUAUACGCUUUUCGUUGCGUUCAACUACGUUUAGCAACAUCGGAAAACAUACAUAUUUCCUGCAAACAUUGACUAAAAAUACGAUACAAUGGAUUAAUAAAACGGAUUGAUGGAAAAGAUAGAUAGUUUGCAAAAAGAAAAAAGAUGUGCAAACAUAACCAAUGAACAGAGGACGCUAUUAAUAGAGUAUUUAAAAAAGCAUCUACAACUAUUAAAAACAAAGAUUACAGCAUCUUAUACUUUGAAAGAUUCUAUAUGCUUAUGGAAUAAAAUUACAAAUUUUGAAAUGCAGUUAACAGCGUUAAAAAAGAUUGGAAAGGUUGGCGUAAAUGUUGGCAUGAUUUACAAUCGCGGAGCAAAAAGGAGCAAAGCGCGAUAAGACAAUCUAUGGCAGCAACAGAAGAUGGUAAACAAACUGUCGAAAUGUUGACAUCAGAAGAAAAACAUUUUCUUAAUGUCAUGUGUCCAACUAAUAUUUAUAGGCAUCCUGAUAUAGAAGAGUCGACUGUAAAUGCAUUGCAAGAAUUAGAAAACGAUCCACUGGAAAUACUGAGAAUACUUAGAGGAAUAUGAGAAGAAUGUUUUCUCAAAAAUUAUUCCUUCUACAUAUUCUAAUAGUCAACACAAUAAGGCAGUUUCCCGAGAAAGAAUAAUAGUUACAGAAAACAAUAAUAAUGAAUUAUUAAAUAAAAAGGAAAAUAAAUAAACAGAAAUACGCAGUAAUGACGUAGAUACAAAUUAAUUUUCUUGCACAGUAAGUGAAGCCCUUCAGGACAGUGGAACGAUAUUUAAUAUAAAUUUUUGUGAACAGAACAAAACUGGAAUUCAGAAGAAAAAAAAUGACGAAUAAAAAGGUAUUACAAAAUGCACAUUGACACUUGAAGUGUCAACAAAAUUGAAUAAUAUUUUGUAACGAGGCGUUUAAAACCUCGUCACAACGACCUGACCGAACAUCCGUUGGGUCGUAAAACCAGGCGCAAAGCGCCAAAUAAAUCUCCAAACACAACCGCCGAUUGUUCCCUCGAGUGGGGGAAACGGCGUACGUGCAAGAUUCGCGAACCGGGUAUAAAAGCCGAGCGCGAUAACGACAAGGGACCAGUACUCAGGCUGCUCUCACGAGCGCGAUCGCCUUGCUGACUCCCAGUCGGUCUGUUCAUCGGCCAUCCUGAGGCCGCUACAACUGGGAAAGGUGCGCUCAUCAUCUCGGGGUGUAGUGCCUCGCAACCGAUCCGCUCCAGGAAUCUCGGGAUCUAGAGGUGGCGCGCUCACCGCCUCUGUCAAGCGCUCCUGACUCCCAGCCUCCUGGAGACACGACCAUGAGGAAAGGUGCGCUUAUCCUCCCUCGAAGCCUUCCAUUAUCGAGACGUUCCCGCCAACCGAGGGGCGUAGAGGUGGCAAGCUCACCGUUUCUGUCCUGCGCUCUGGACUCCCCGACCGCCGGAUCGUCUCCGAUCGCCUAGUAGCCCGACGCCGCGUCGCUCCCAGGGCGACUGACCUACGCAAUCAUAACCGCGUUGACCCGCCGCGAUACCGUCCGCACCGCGACCGACCGAAUCGCCGCGAGUCCGAAUACAUCCGACUGCGUCGCCGCCGUUCCCGGAUGCCCGCACUAGGAAUAAGUUCUUGUUUAGAUAUAAGCUCGCGUCUAGAUAUAAGUUCGCGUUUAGAAUUAAGUUCGCGUUAGACACCGACUCAGAGUAACAUACCAGAAUAAAUUAUUUUGUUUUAGUUUACACGACACGCGCACUCACACGCACACUCACGAACCGACACCCGCGCCCAGCGUCGAAAGAACCCGUGGACACCGGCAAGCUCAUCCACCGCCGUUCGGUGUCACGAGCGUUCGCUCGAUCUCGUAACGGUUCGACCACUACCACGAGAACCGUGACAAUUUAUAAAAAAACAUUUAAACUAAAAAAAGAAUAUUAUGACGUAAAAUUAAAAUAUAUGAAAAGAUCUGUACAAGCAAAGGAAAGGAUAGCUCAAAGUAUAGAGAAUUGCAAUAUGUCUUAAUAGAAAGUACUACACAGAUAUUGUAUAUUGUUAUUCCUUAUAACACAAUAACUAUAGAAGAAAUAUAAUUAUAAUACAAUUAAAGUAUAUUCUUGAUGUCUAUGUGAUUGCAACAAUUAUGAUUUCUUAAACUUGUGAUUGCUUAAUUGUAAGAUGAGAUUAAUAAGAUGGAGUAAAUUCGAGAAAAAAAACAACGUUUUUUCAUACAAAAUAAAUAUUUACGUAUAAAAAAUAUUCUUCCUGUGUUUAUAGUUUAUUUAAUACAGAGCUCGGCAAGCGAUGCAUUUUUCAGCCGAUUUUAGAGAGGUUCCGCCUGAUGUUUCCCUUGCGUUGUUGCUUUGUGCGCAAAGUACAAGUUGCUCGAUGCUCAUGCAAUUCAUACGCUGUUUGCGGGGCAACAAGGCAAAGGGAAUGUAAGAGAGAGCCUUCUUGGCUGGAAAGUGCAUCACUUGCCGAGCUCUGAUUUAAUAUAUAAAAAUGUGUUAUUUUAUUUUGUUUUUAUUUUUGUAUUGAAAAAAAAUAUUGUACAAAACCAACAAUUAGCGAAUAUCACAGAAAUAUAUCCACUGAAUAAAUAACACGAUACAAUACAUUUAGUUGAUAUGGAUCAAUGCAAAGUAAUCACCAUGUAAUUUGUGUAGACAACAUAAUAUUUCAUUGAUGGCCGCUGACUGCUGAUUUUAUAAAUUUAAUUACUUUUUCUCAUUGUUUUUUUAAUGUCAUAAUUAUUAAAUGUUACAAAUAUGUUAUAUGUAAUAUAAAAAAUCCGACAAUUGGUUUUAUGUUGUACUAUUUUUAUUUCAAAUUAUAAAAAUAAAUGUUUGGUAGCACAAAAGGGUUUAUUU